CUGCCGGGACCCUCGGGCGGGGCCGGGCUGAGCCCCCGGGGCUGCCGGGACCCUCGGGCGGGGCCGGGCUGAGCCCCCGGGGCUGCCGGGACCCUCGGGCGGGGCCGGGCUGAGCCCCCGGGGCUGCCGGGACCCUCGGGCGGGGCCGGGCUGAGCCCCCGGGGCUGCCGGGACCCUCGGGCGGGGCCGGGCUGAGCCCCCGGGGCUGCCGGGACCCUCGGGCGGGGCCGGGCUGAGCCCCCGGGGCUGGCGGGACCCUCGGGCGGGGCCGGACGGAGCCCCCGGGGAUGCCGGGACCCUCCCAGGGCGCUUCGCGACGGGGGAUGUGGAGUGAGGGAUAACGGGAAUCAGGAAGUGCUUCCACGGACCCGCGCCCGGUUCCGUGGCUGUGCCGAGGUUUGAACCGGGAAAGAGCCGCUGUCCUGCGGUGAGGACGGGGGGAAAUGGCCUUACAGUGAGAGUGGGGAGAUUCGGAUUAGAGAUUAGGAAAAAAUUGGGUGGCCCCGCAUUGGAACAGGUUGCCCAGGGAGGUGGGGGAGUCGCCGUUGCUGCAGGUGUUCAAGAAGUGUCCGGAUCUGGCGCUGGGUGACAGUUUAGGAGAUACAGGGGCAGUGUUUGGGAAUAGUUGGACUAUGAUGCCAAAAGACAUCAAAAAACUGUCAAAUAACUGCUCGGAGACUUUUAUGUUUUAAAACAGCAAGAUAUUUGUUUAUUCAACGUUGGGAACAAGCCAGCUUGUGCUUAAUUACACUUAAUUAAUUAAUUACUCGCAAUUUGCACUCUUUUGAUUAUGGUACUUAAUUUAUACCACAGCCAUAAAUUGAGUAAUGAUAACAAAAAAAAGGCUGGACCUUUUCCAGCUGCAGGUGCCAUCCAGCCUGCCUUUGGCAAAGGAGGAGCACUGAGGUUGAGUUGGGGAGGUAGGGAGGAGGUGCUGGGGUCUCCCUUACUUUCAGAAACACCCCAUAACUUUUUUUCUCGCUCCCCCAGGUACGGCACACGGUGAUGGCAGCAGCCUCCAACUGGGGUCGGAGCCAGUGGCCCAAGAACCUCUCAGCUCAGGGGAGGCGACCGAGUCAGGGAUCACAGGACCCUCUGAGCCAGCCAGGUGUCCUUCCUUCACAUCGAAGAUGGAUUCACAUCCCCAGCUGUGGGAAAGAUAAGUGGAGGACUCCCACCUGGAGAGGGGAUGAGAGCUGGGUCCAGUUUUAUGUUUAGGAGGGAGGGAUUUUCAGAUGAGCACACGGGAAAGGGUCUGCCCUAACAGGCCCUUGGCACACAUAGGAGGAGCAGUUUACUUUUCAUCAUGGAGUAGGAUGUGCAGGGCAGAGCAGUUCAGGUCUGUGUCAUGUCCUUUGUCCGGUCUGUGUUUCGUGUCUUACACUUCACAGUCAUCACAUCUUUGGUUUCUGCCUUCAAAGGCCUGUCUGCCCUCCACGGUCUUAUCUGAGAUGCCAAGGCAUCAUUCCUAGGGUCUGGAACCUCUGCACUGCCCAGCCCAGUGCCCAUACCAUCCGUUCUUUGGCUCACUAGCUUGGACAUGCAUCGGAAUCGCAUCUGAGAAGUGUCAGGUCAGGUGUCUUUUACAACCUCCUUACAGGUUGUAUCGGUGGCUGUGCCGUGCAGUCAUCCCUUGUCAUCCCACCUGGGAUUUCUGAGAGUUUAAGAAGAUUCUGAACAUAGCCUUGUCUCCCAUCCAUCUUAGCCUUUUUGUAGGCAGUUCUUGUCCCAGGCCAUUCUGUUAGAGUGUGUUUUCAGGCUCCUCAGAGCCUCCUCCGUUCAGUCUCGCCGUAUCCUCCGUCUUCUCGUGCGGCAGCACAUCCAUUUUGGCGUCGUUCCUUUCUCAGAGUUCUCUCUCCUGGUUGCACCACAGCACUUGUCUGGAAAUGUGUCCUUGGAGUUUGUGUUGGGCCUGGAACUGCUCUGCCCUGCAGUGUAGACUUGGGGGUAGGUGGAGUAGAAAGGAGACUUCCCAGUUACCCUGUGAUAGGCUCAGGCACUGAGGGCAGGGCCUUAAAGUGAGGUCAGUGUUUGUUUGUGCAGGCUGUCUUUGGACCCCAGAGGGCUUGUCUAAAGAGAAAUUAGAAUUGCACAGCAGUUAAUGUUGCCCUGCGUAUAUGGCUGACUUUGGUACCUCAUUUCUUUGCAGUGUCAGAGGGAGUGGAUGUAAAGCAGAGAUGAACAGAGGAGGCUGGAGGAGCACAGUCAGAAGAUGCAGAGCCCUCAGCCCAGCAGAGGACAGGCACCAGGGGGAAGGUGAGCCCGGUGAGGAAGGUGAGCAGUGACUUCAGGACAAAACUAGCUGCUCUUUUGCAGGUGGUGUACUUGUGGUGAAUCUGUGUACAUACUUGUUUUUUUGUUUUACAGGCAAUGCACAGACUUCUAACGUGCAGUCCAACGUGACAGGGACCCUGCCUGUAAGAGGAGAUGUGCACAGCCUCAGAUGGCCGAAGCCAACUCACAGUGAGGUGACGGACACAGUUUGGUCCCCUUGAGCUGUCCUUGUAGAUAAUCUCCGAGUAUUGAAAGGAUCAGCAAUGAAGCACUGAGCUUUUUGGAUUGCAGGUGCCAUCCAGGUAACCUUUGGGAGCCAAUGAGCAUUGGAGGUGAGUCGGGGAGGCAGCAGGAGGAGCAGGGAUCCACUGCAGCUUUAGAGAUGCCCUCUAAUUUUGUCUCUCGCUCACUCAGGUGUCCCAGAAGAUGACAGCACAUUGUCCAAGUCUGGUCAGAGUCAGUGACACGAGGACCUGCCUCGGUGGCAGUGAGUAGAGGGAUCCUGGGGGCUGGGGCCACGUGCCACACUCCUCAGAUCUG
Molecule: long non-coding RNA, 2814 nt
Organism: Pseudopipra pipra
Lineage: Eukaryota; Metazoa; Chordata; Aves; Passeriformes; Pipridae
Exons: 4
Source: RefSeq, a predicted model, not a curated record